RNAcentral lists this ribosomal RNA (500 nucleotides) under uncultured bacterium. Its description in RNAcentral is "partial 16S ribosomal RNA". It matches the Rfam family "Bacterial small subunit ribosomal RNA", at positions 30 to 523 of the family's 1533-position model. The record is from RNAcentral.
AUUGAACGCUGGCGGCAUGCCUUACACAUGCAAGUCGAACGGCAGCACGGGAGCAAUCCUGGUGGCGAGUGGCGAACGGGUGAGUAAAGUAUCGGAACGUGCCCAGUCGUGGGGGAUAACGUAGCGAAAGUUACGCUAAUACCGCAUACGAUCUAUGGAUGAAAGCGGGGGAUCGCAAGACCUCGCGCGAUUGGAGCGGCCGAUAUCAGAUCAGGUAGUUGGUGGGGUAAAGGCUCACCAAGCCGACGAUCUGUAGCUGGUCUGAGAGGACGACCAGCCACACUGGGACUGAGACACGGCUCAGACUCCUACGGGAGGCAGCAGUGGGGAAUUUUGGAAAAUGGGCGAAAGCCUGAUCCAGCCAUGCCGCGUGCAGGAUGAAGGCCUUCGGGUUGUAAACUGCUUUUGUACGGAACGAAAAGGUUUGGGCUAAUAAGCUGAGCUCAUGACGGUACCGUAAGAAUAAGCACCGGCUAACUACGUGCCAGCAGCCGCCGUAA